AGUGAACGCUGGCGGCAGGCCUAACACAUGCAAGUCGAGCGGCAGCACGGCAAUAGCAAUAUUGUGGGUGGCGAGCGGCGGACGGGUGAGGAAUGCAUCGGGAUCUACCCUGUCGUGGGGGACAACGUAGGGAAACUUACGCUAAUACCGCAUGAUCUGGAGACAGCAAAGCCGGGGACCCGCGAGGGCCUGGCGCGAUGGGAUGAGCCGAUGUCCGAUUAGCUAGUUGGCGGGGUAAAGGCCCACCAAGGCGACGAUCGGUAGCUGGUCUGAGAGGACGACCAGCCACACUGGAACUGAGACACGGUCCAGACUCCUACGGGAGGCAGCAGUGGGGAAUAUUGGACAAUGGGGGCAACCCUGAUCCAGCCAUGCCG
This 377-nucleotide ribosomal RNA is filed under the name uncultured bacterium. Its description in RNAcentral is "bacterial SSU rRNA". It matches the Rfam family "Bacterial small subunit ribosomal RNA", at positions 30 to 399 of the family's 1533-position model. The record is from RNAcentral.